This 259-nucleotide ribosomal RNA is filed under the name uncultured bacterium. RNAcentral describes it as "partial 16S ribosomal RNA". It matches the Rfam family "Bacterial small subunit ribosomal RNA", at positions 793 to 1055 of the family's 1533-position model. The record is from RNAcentral.
GUCCACGCUGUAACGGUGAGUGCUCGUCGUCGUGGGUAUUGACCCUGCGGUGACCAAGUUAACACAUGAAGCACUCCGCCUGGGAAGUACGGUCGCAAGACUAAACUCAAAGAAUUGACGGGGCCCGCACAAGCGGUGGAGCAUGUUGUUUAAUUCGAAGCAACGCGCAGAACCUUACCUGGAUUUGACAUCUCUGGAAUCCUCCUGAAAGGGAGGAGUGCCUUCGGGAGCCAGAAGACAGGUGCUGCAUGGCUGUCGU